AGUAGGGCCUGCCCACUGAAUAUUUAAAGGGCCGCAGUAUCUUAACUGUGCAAAGGUAGCAUAAUCAUUAGUUUUUUAAUUGAAAGCUGGAAUGAAUGGUUUGAUGAGAAAAUUUCUGUUUCAAUAUUAAUUUUUUAGAAUUUUAUUUUUAAGUUAAAAAGCUUAAAUAUUUAUAAAAGACGAGAAGACCCUAUAGAGUUUUAUUAAUAAUUAAUUUUUUUAAAUUAGAAUUAACUUUAAAAAAAUUGUUUAUUAAUUUGAUUGGGGUGAUUAAAAAAUUAAUAAAACUUUUUUUAAAUUUUUACAUUGAUUUAUGAGUAUUUGAUCCAUUAAUAUGAUUAAAAGAAC
Molecule: ribosomal RNA, 348 nt
Filed under: Scymnus nephrospilus
Lineage: Eukaryota; Metazoa; Arthropoda; Insecta; Coleoptera; Coccinellidae
Description: partial 16S ribosomal RNA
Source: RNAcentral